This 483-nucleotide ribosomal RNA is filed under the name uncultured bacterium. RNAcentral's name for it is "bacterial SSU rRNA". It matches the Rfam family "Bacterial small subunit ribosomal RNA", at positions 328 to 803 of the family's 1533-position model. The record is from RNAcentral.
CUACGGAACUCCUACGGGAGGCAGCAGUGGGGAAUUUUGGACAAUGGGGGCAACCCUGAUCCAGCAAUGCCGCGUGAGUGAAGAAGGCCUUCGGGUUGUAAAGCUCUUUUGUCAGGGAAGAAACGGUAGUAGCUAAUAUCUAUUACUAAUGACGGUACCUGAAGAAUAAGCACCGGCUAACUACGUGCCAGCAGCCGCGGUAAUACGUAGGGUGCAAGCGUUAAUCGGAAUUACUGGGCGUAAAGCGUGCGCAGGCGGUUGUGUAAGUCAGAUGUGAAAUCCCCGGGCUCAACCUGGGAAUUGCAUUUGAGACUGCACGGCUAGAGUGCGGCAGAGGGGGAUGGAAUUCCGCGUGUAGCAGUGAAAUGCGUAGAUAUGCGGAGGAACACCGAUGGCGAAGGCAAUCCCCUGGGCCUGCACUGACGCUCAUGCACGAAAGCGUGGGGAGCAAACAGGAUUAGAAACCCCUGUAGUCCUCUUCGA